GCCUUCGUGGUGUAGUGGUCAGCACGCUCGGCGCAUAAUCGAAAGGUCCAUGGUUCGAGUCUUGGAGAAGACA
This is a non-coding RNA of Stegodyphus mimosarum, 73 nucleotides long. The record is from Rfam. NCBI's taxonomy places the organism in Eukaryota, Metazoa, Arthropoda, Arachnida, Araneae, Eresidae.